Molecule: unclassified non-coding RNA, 253 nt
Filed under: uncultured Planctomycetia bacterium
Lineage: Bacteria; Pseudomonadati; Planctomycetota; Planctomycetia
Description: contains 16S-23S intergenic spacer region
Rfam family: Bacterial small subunit ribosomal RNA
Source: RNAcentral
GACGAACCGCCCGAACGUUAUUCGGAAUCACUGGGCUUAAAGGGCGCGUAGGCGGGCCGGCAAGUCAGGGGUGAAAGCCCGCAGCUCAACUGCGGAAGGGCCUCUGAUACUGCCAGUCUGGAGGGAGGUAGGGGCGUGCGGAACUUCCGGUGGAGCGGUGAAAUGCGUAGAUAUCGGAAGGAACACCGGUGGCGAAAGCGGCGCGCUGGACCUCUUCUGACGCUGAGGCGCGAAAGCCAGGGGAGCAAACGGG